CAGAACGAACGCUGGCGGCGUGGAUAAGACAUGCAAGUCGAACGAGAGAAUUGCUAGCUUGCUAAUAAUUCUCUAGUGGCGCACGGGUGAGUAACACGUGAGUAACCUGCCCCCGAGAGCGGGAUAGCCCUGGGAAACUGGGAUUAAUACCGCAUAGUAUCGAAAGAUUAAAGCAGCAAUGCGCUCGGGGAUGGGCUCGCGGCCUAUUAGUUAGUUGGUGAGGUAACGGCUCACCAAGGCGAUGACGGGUAGCCGGUCUGAGAGGAUGUCCGGCCACACUGGAACUGAGACACGGUCCAGACACCUACGGGUGGCAGCAGUCGAGAAUCAUUCACAAUGGGGGAAACCCUGAUGGUGCGACGCCGCGUGGGGGAAUGAAGGUCUUCGGAUUGUAAACCCCUGUCAUGUGGGAGCAAAUUAAAAAGAUAGUACCACAAGAGGAAGAGACGGCUAACUCUGUGCCAGCAGCCGCGGUAAUACAGAGGUCUCAAGCGUUGUUCGGAA
This 504-nucleotide ribosomal RNA is filed under the name uncultured bacterium. RNAcentral describes it as "bacterial SSU rRNA". It matches the Rfam family "Bacterial small subunit ribosomal RNA", at positions 25 to 550 of the family's 1533-position model. The record is from RNAcentral.